CAGAAGGGUGGUGAUACCAACUUACUACUGGAAGCAGUGGGCAGCGCAGGACAGGCCCAGGGCCACCGACCCUGGCAAUGACUGUCACCAGCUGGAGGGAAGAGCUGAGAAUGAAGCGGAGAGCAUCAGACAGAGGAGCUGGGGAAACGUCGGCCAGGGCCAAGGCUCUAGGAAGUGGGAUUUCUGGAAAUAAUGCAAAGAGAGCUGGACCAUUCAUCCUUGGUCCCCGUCUGGGCAACUCACCGGUGCCAAGCAUAGUGCAGUGUUUGGCGAGGAAAGAUGGCACGGAUGACUUCUAUCAGCUGAAGAUCCUGACCCUGGAGGAGAGGGGGGACCAAGGCAUAGAGAGCCAGGAAGAGCGGCAGGGCAAGAUGCUGCUGCACACCGAGUACUCACUGCUGUCUCUCCUGCACACGCAGGAUGGCGUGGUGCACCACCACGGCCUCUUCCAGGACCGCACCUGUGAAAUCGUUGAGGACACAGAAUCCAGCCGGAUGGUUAAGAAGAUGAAGAAGCGCAUCUGCCUCGUCCUGGACUGCCUCUGUGCUCAUGACUUCAGCGACAAGACUGCUGACCUCAUCAACCUGCAGCACUACGUCAUCAAGGAGAAGAGGCUCAGCGAGAGGGAGACUGUGGUCAUCUUCUACGACGUGGUCCGCGUGGUGGAGGCCCUGCACCAGG
This 681-nucleotide small RNA is filed under the name Pan troglodytes (chimpanzee). RNAcentral's name for it is "processed transcript". Lineage: Eukaryota; Metazoa; Chordata; Mammalia; Primates; Hominidae. The record is from RNAcentral.